UACGUAGGGUGCAAGCGUUGUCCGGAAUUAUUGGGCGUAAAGAGCUCGUAGGCGGUCAGUCGCGUCUGCUGUGAAAACUCGGGGCUUAACUCCGGGCCUGCAGUGGGUACGGGCUGACUAGAGUGCGGUAGGGGAGACUGGAAUUCCUGGUGUAGCGGUGAAAUGCGCAGAUAUCAGGAGGAACACCAGUGGCGAAGGCGACUUCCUGGCCUGUUCUUGACGCUGAGGCGCGAAAGCUAGGGGAGCAAACGGG
This 253-nucleotide ribosomal RNA is filed under the name uncultured bacterium. Its description in RNAcentral is "partial 16S ribosomal RNA". It matches the Rfam family "Bacterial small subunit ribosomal RNA", at positions 524 to 776 of the family's 1533-position model. The record is from RNAcentral.